AUGCUUACUUUGGCAGCACAUAUACUAAAACUGGAAUGAUACAGAGAACAUUAGCAUGGCCCCUGUGCAAGGAUGACACAUAAACCUUUCCUUUGUUACACUCAUGA
RNAcentral lists this small nuclear RNA (107 nucleotides) under Ochotona princeps (American pika). Lineage: Eukaryota; Metazoa; Chordata; Mammalia; Lagomorpha; Ochotonidae. The record is from RNAcentral.